Molecule: ribosomal RNA, 901 nt
Filed under: Acinetobacter baumannii
Lineage: Bacteria; Pseudomonadati; Pseudomonadota; Gammaproteobacteria; Moraxellales; Moraxellaceae
Description: partial 23S ribosomal RNA
Rfam family: Bacterial large subunit ribosomal RNA
Source: RNAcentral
CAAGCUGUACUUGUACAGCGAAGUGGUUGAUGCCAUGCUUCCAGGAAAAGUCUCUAAGCUUCAGUUACACAGGAAUCGUACCCGAAACCGACACAGGUGGUCAGGUCGAGUAGACCAAGGCGCUUGAGAGAACUCUGCUGAAGGAACUAGGCAAAAUGGUACCGUAACUUCGGGAGAAGGUACGCUGUUGUUGGUGAUGGAACUCGCUUCCUGAGCUGACGACAGCCGCAGAAACCAGGCCGCUGCAACUGUUUAUUAAAAACAUAGCACUCUGCAAACACGAAAGUGGACGUAUAGGGUGUGAUGCCUGCCCGGUGCUGGAAGGUUAAUUGAUGGGGUUAGCGUAAGCGAAGCUCUUGAUCGAAGCCCCAGUAAACGGCGGCCGUAACUAUAACGGUCCUAAGGUAGCGAAAUUCCUUGUCGGGUAAGUUCCGACCUGCACGAAUGGCAUAAUGAUGGCGGCGCUGUCUCCAGCAGAGGCUCAGUGAAAUCGAAAUCGCUGUGAAGAUGCAGUGUACCCGCGGCUAGACGGAAAGACCCCGUGAACCUUUACUGCAGCUUGACACUGAACUUUGACCUUACUUGUGUAGGAUAGGUGGGAGGCUUUGAAGCUGGAACGCUAGUUCCAGUGGAGCCGUCCUUGAAAUACCACCCUGGUAAUGUUGAGGUUCUAACUCUGUCCCGUGAUCCGGGACGAGGACCGUGUCUGGUGGGUAGUUUGACUGGGGCGGUCUCCUCCUAAAGAGUAACGGAGGAGUACGAAGGUGCGCUCAGCGUGGUCGGAAAUCACGCGUAGAGUAUAAAGGCAAAAGCGCGCUUAACUGCGAGACCCACAAGUCGAGCAGGUACGAAAGUAGGUCUUAGUGAUCCGGUGGUUCUGUAUGGAAGGGCCAUCGCUCAA